ACUGAAUGGACAGAACUGGUGAUCCUUAAUUCAUCAAAAACUACCUUUGUAGGAACAACCCCUGUAUCUGUGACAGGGAAAAAAGGAGACAGUGUCAUCCUGUCAUGUCAAUUUGAGCCCAGUGACAUUUUUCGUAUUGAUUUAUGGAGACAAAAAUCCAUCUUUUCAUGUCAGAAUGAAACUUGUGAGAAUGGGCGAUUUUCAAAAAAAGGAUGUGAUGUCACCAUCAAGAAUCUGAGCUUCAGUGAUGCUGGGAAAUAUACUUUGAAAGUCUUUUACAAUCAUAUUCAGACAGUAUUGAAUCAAAAAAAGGAGAGGAUGUACCAACUUCAAAUUCAAGAUAAUAUUUCUGUGCAGGAAGGUGGGGAGUUGGGUGAUCUGCCCAGUGCUCAUAAAGUUCUGCAUCAGCCCAGCGGAAGCACAAAGUGGAUGGACGUUUGGCCCAAGGAUCAGAGUGAUGUGAACCUUCAUAAUUUUAGGACCAACCACACAGGAACAUACAGAGUUCUGGACUCUGAAGAAAACAUCUUGAUCACAGUGACAGUCACAGGUAAGAGAAGAUCAGUGGAUAUGUGGAAAUACUAUUUUUAAGAGACAGCUGAUAUUAAUUCACCAUGAUUUGAACAUCACAUUGAUGCUAAACUUUGUGACUAACCUCCCUAUAUUCUCAUCAGAAUCAGGUACAGAAUCAAAGGACAAACAAGACGACACAAAUAAAGACAAAACUGAACCACUUCGUAAGUAUAUC
This is a long non-coding RNA of Cyprinus carpio (common carp), 748 nucleotides long. NCBI's taxonomy places the organism in Eukaryota, Metazoa, Chordata, Actinopteri, Cypriniformes, Cyprinidae. The record is from Ensembl.